AAUGCAUUUCGGCCAAAACUCAUGGAAAAUGAGUACGGAGGACCCAAUCAUUUGGGGUUAAUUCUGCCUUGCAGAAGGGAUGAGAUCAGCUCUUUCGCCAUCCUACCCGUCAGCUAACUUCGUCGGCUAAAGCGAAGGAGGUC
Bacillus sp. FJAT-22058 is the source of this 143-nucleotide non-coding RNA. The record is from Rfam. Lineage: Bacteria; Bacillati; Bacillota; Bacilli; Caryophanales; Bacillaceae.